RNAcentral lists this ribosomal RNA (374 nucleotides) under uncultured organism. RNAcentral describes it as "partial 16S ribosomal RNA". It matches the Rfam family "Bacterial small subunit ribosomal RNA", at positions 527 to 896 of the family's 1533-position model. The record is from RNAcentral.
GUAGGUGGCAAGCGUUGUCCGGAAUUAUUGGGCGUAAAGCGCGCGCAGGCGGUCCUUUAAGUCUGAUGUGAAAGCCCGCGGCUCAACCGUGGAGGGUCAUUGGAAACUGGGGGACUUGAGUACAGAAGAGGAAAGCGGAAUUCCAAGUGUAGCGGCGAAAUGCGUAGAGAUUUGGAGGAACACCAGUGGCGAAGGCGGCUUUCUGGUCUGUAACUGACGCUGAGGCGCGAAAGCGUGGGGAGCAAACAGGAUUAGAUACCCUGGUAGUCCACGCCGUAAACGAUGAGUGCUAAGUGUUAGGGGGUUUCCCGCCCCCCUUAGUGCUGCAGCUAACGCAUUAAGCACUCCGCCUGGGGAGUACGGCCGCAAGGCUG